UGACCACUUCCUUGCGGGAGUUAAGGCCAUACGGACAGCCGGGUCAAAUGCCGA
This is a small RNA of 54 nucleotides. It matches the Rfam family "Streptococcus sRNA SpF59 (ldcC RNA)". The record is from Rfam.